GCCUUGUACACACCGCCCGUCACACCAUGGGAGUUGGCUUUACCCGAAGGCGUUUCGCUAACCGCAAGGAGGCAGACGACCACGGUAGGGUCAGCGACUGGGGUGAAGUCGUAACAAGGUAGCCGUAGGGGAACCUGCGGCUGGAUCACCUCCUUUCUAAGGA
This 163-nucleotide ribosomal RNA is filed under the name Cylindrospermopsis raciborskii CS-506_A. Its description in RNAcentral is "partial 16S ribosomal RNA". It matches the Rfam family "Bacterial small subunit ribosomal RNA", at positions 1378 to 1533 of the family's 1533-position model. The record is from RNAcentral. Lineage: Bacteria; Bacillati; Cyanobacteriota; Cyanophyceae; Nostocales; Aphanizomenonaceae.